Molecule: ribosomal RNA, 301 nt
Filed under: uncultured bacterium
Lineage: Bacteria
Description: partial 16S ribosomal RNA
Rfam family: Bacterial small subunit ribosomal RNA
Source: RNAcentral
CAGCCGCCGCGGUAAAACGUAGGUCCCGAGCGUUGUCCGGAUUUAUUGGGCGUAAAGCGAGCGCAGGCGGUUAGAUAAGUCUGAAGUUAAAGGCUGUGGCUUAACCAUAGUACGCUUUGGAAACUGUUUAACUUGAGUGCAAGAGGGGAGAGUGGAAUUCCAUGUGUAGCGGUGAAAUGCGUAGAUAUAUGGAGGAACACCGGUGGCGAAAGCGGCUCUCUGGUCUGUAACUGACGCUGGGGAGCGAAAGCGUGGGGAGCGAACAGGAUUAGAUACCCCCGUAGUCCCUGUCUCUUAUACA